This 1479-nucleotide unclassified non-coding RNA is filed under the name Hevea brasiliensis (rubber tree). Lineage: Eukaryota; Viridiplantae; Streptophyta; Magnoliopsida; Malpighiales; Euphorbiaceae. The record is from RNAcentral.
GGAAGAUCCUGGUUUGUCUUUGGUUAGUCAAACAGCAUUAUCUUUCUCAUUUUCUUGGCUAUAUGCGGACUGACUUUAUAUGCUGAGUUUGUUAUAGUUCUUCUAGCUAAUUUGCUGAUACUUUCUGAAUUAAGUUUCAAGGAACAUUGAAGGUUUACAUAUUUGCUUGCUUGGGAUUAUAAACAGAUGUGUUUCUAGGCACAAUGAUUUUUUUUCCCCUUCCUUUCCUUGGGGCAUAUUUAGCAGUCUGUAUUUUCUGCCAUUAAUUUUUUGCUCCAUGCUUAGUCUUCAACAUCACUCUUAAUCAUGUUCACCAAGAACCUUCACCAUUCAUGCAGCUGUUGAAUAGGUAACGUUUUAACUACCCAGUGCAUUUUACAUGCAGAACAUGGUGUUGUCAUUGAAAUCAGAUAUUUAAGUUACAUUUUGUUUCAAACACUAAUGAUAGGAAAUAAUAACAGCCUCUUGAUAUCAACAAUCUUGGUUGCGCAGCUGUUGAAUGAAAUAUGUGCUGAGGUUAAGAGGUUGUCACUGUUUCCAUUUUAGUUUGAGACAUAAAUCAAUUUAAAUUUAUAUGUUCAGUAACAAUUGACAACAAUUUCCGAGUGCCAAAUACACUGGUGACGUUGCCAAGUUAUGAAUAGAGAUUAGAUGGACAGAUUCGAGGCAGUGGAAGUUCCUUGCCUCGAACCUUGUCUUUUGUCCUCACUUUCCAAAUGAAAGUUGAGGCUUGGAUAACCCCAAUCAAUUAAUGGGAUCCAUCACCUCUUCUACUUCAAUUUCACUAUGUCUAUAAACCAUUUAAUUUUAAUUUGUUUUAAAUUCAUUCAUUUUUCUAUUUGAUAAAGCACUCCAAAACUAAUUGUUAUGUGCAUGGUUGAAAAUUCUACACAGAUUGCAAUUUGUCAUUUUGUGAAAUUUGGAAUUGGUUAUACUGUUGGAAUUGCUUGUGAGUUGUGACACCUUGAAGUUGAAAGACACUGCUACCUUUCAGGUAAUGUUAUGCAGUGUUUGGUGGUUGGGAGAAUAGCAUGCCAUUUGAAGUAAAUUUCCUGAUGUUCACUGUUAGACUUCUCGAUGUUGAUUUCAUGUCUUGCAUCUUUCUAUUAGCCAUUGUUAAUCUUGUUUAAUCAGGGCACAAGAGGUGUGAUCUGGAUGUGUUCAGACCCUAUAGUGUUUUCCAAUGAAGUGACAAACUUGUGCUUCACUUUGUACAACUUAGCACUGCAGCUGUAACAUUGUAUCUUAAUGUUGAUUAUUGUGAUGGUUAAAGUAUAAUCCAAGAUAUAUGCUACUUUUUGUCGUCUUACUUUACACUUGGUAACUUCAUUAUAAUCCAAGAUAUAUGCUACUUUUUGUCGUCUUACUUUACACUUGGUAACUUCAUUAUAAUCACUUACAAGUCAAAAUGCCAAGAUGUCCUUAUUUUGAUGCACUACAAUAUAUCUUGUUGUAGGUGACAAAAACUUAUAAUUACAU